Molecule: long non-coding RNA, 882 nt
Organism: Hemicordylus capensis (graceful crag lizard)
Lineage: Eukaryota; Metazoa; Chordata; Lepidosauria; Squamata; Cordylidae
Exons: 4
Source: RefSeq, a predicted model, not a curated record
UCAGUCUCCGCCUCUCAGCUGUAGGGCAGGUGGCGGGGCUUCCAGAGAGGCCUCUGGGCAGGCCUCCCUGAAGCCUGAACUCAAGUGCCGGCAGGCAGGGUGGCCAGCGCUGGCUGCCCUUGCCCACCACAGCUCUGCCCAGCUUUUGACUCCUCAAGCUUAGUAAUGGAGACCACUGGAGAAGAAGGAGAAAAGGAGAAAAAUCCUCACAAUUAACUGAAAGGGGAGAAACAGUCAAAGGAGCUGCAUGGUCUGGAAUCUCAUUAAAAGAUGAAAAACUUUAAGACUGCAAAUGCAUUUCAAAAGAAACUGCAAUGCCUGCAGUACCUAGCCGGAUCAGAAGAAUAAGUAAGUUCCAAGAACUUUCAUGGGGCAAUUUGGUGAUCAGGUAAUUAAGUUCACUCUGGCUUUCCUAAAGCAAAAAGAAUCAGCUGCUCAGUAUUUGGCUCCCAUCCUGCCACAUGCUUCCCUCUAAGGAACCACUAUUUUAAGAAACAGCAGUACUGGAAGCAUUCCGUAUGUUAACAAGAGUCAGCUAGAGGGCGACUUUAGAUAAAAAAGGAAGAGCAGAAGGCAUCAUUCUUCUCACUUGAGAAAGGAAGAGGAAGGAAAGCAGGUGUCUAAGAUGUCCAGUCACGGUUGCUAUAAGGAGCUCAUGGCUAGAGGCUUUCGGAGGAUGCGGAUAGAAAAGGAAUGUAGAAUAGCCCCAAUACAUCCACAUAUACAAAGGGAGUUUGAUCUUCCUUUCCUUCCUAGGUGUUCUGCCUCUGUUAUUUUCCUCUUAACAGAUGUCUGCUUCUGGAGAAACAGCACGACAACACCUGAUAUACAAAGAAAUGAGUUUUAUGCAGCUGCACUGCCCCAUGUGCCUUCAGCAAGAAA